RNAcentral lists this long non-coding RNA (466 nucleotides) under Homo sapiens (human). Lineage: Eukaryota; Metazoa; Chordata; Mammalia; Primates; Hominidae. The record is from RNAcentral.
AAGGCCCCACCCCCACAGACUUAAGUGAAGACCCGCAUUCCUACUUUCUAUCCCAAAUGUUGCGUUUUCUAAGACCACUCUGGCCCGCCAUACCUCCAUCCUGGGCCUAUAAAAAUCCGAGACCCUAGCAAGACAGAAACGGAAGCUGCUGGACGACGAGAUGAAAAUAUCGGCCAAAGAAGACAAGCCACCGGACAUUGAGAGGACAUCGAGGGGAGCCCCCGCUUGUCGCACGCCCUGCCACAGGGAUGAGGGAACCUCUCCAGUUUCAAUAUAUGGAGUUUUGCUCUUGUUGCAUAGACUGGAGUGCAAUGGCGUGAUCUCGGCUUACCCCAACCUCCACCUCCUGGGUUCAAGCUAUUCUUCUGCCUCAGCCUUCCGAGAAGCUGGGAUUACAGAGUCUUGCUCUGUUGCCCAGGCUGAAGUGCAGUGGUGCUAUCUCAGCUCACUGCAACCUCUGCCUCCG